CAGCUGGCACACGGUUGCUAUGACACCGCACCCACAUGCUGUUUCAAUAACACGCUUAACCAAUGCAAGUGUGUUACAGCGCUCCAGAUGACAUAAUUUCAUCAGCUCGAACACCAAUCAACCUCCCCGGUAUGCUCAGGUAAGCGUAGGCUGUGAUCACAGAGCUAAUUGCCCCAAGGCAUUGCUGGAGGUCAGUUCGAGGGUAUUUUCAAUGCUCGGGGCCAUUACUCUGAAGUGAGUGAGAAAUUACGGGCUUUCUUCUUAUACUUUUGACAUGCUUCAGGUAUGACCCAGAGAGUCGACUGUUGAACCACGUCGCGUGCAUGGACCUUGAGUCAAAAACUACAUUAUACUACUCACAGCUUUGUCGCAAUAACAUUGGAAGAAACAACCGACUCUUACUGUCGUCAGCACCCAGUCAGUCACUAAAGGAUAACCAAAGUACACCCUAUUGAUGGCUUAUUUCUGGGAAAUGAUCGUGUUGCCGGAACCCAUACCUGGAGGGUACAGCAUUGCCACCUUGCUUGUGGGAGUUAAGAUUUUUCUGUAAGAGAGGACAUGGCUUGGAACCAGCACUAAAAAAAUGAUCAAUACUGGAAACGACAAAUACAGCCAGCAAGAAAUAGUAAAUGGACCAGAAACGUCAAAGCCCGCAUUGCAUCAUGGAGGCUGGAUUCCAUUUUCUGAUUUCGAUUCUGCUGAGAGAGAGAGAUCAUGCAAACUCCGCACAGACAGCAGGACGUAACCUGGAUCCUGCACCGCUUUCAGUCUUAACUCUUGUGCAUUUCACUGAAACAGGAUACUUGGUGUUGUAAUGACUGAUUGCACGUGGCGUUUAUCUAAGAGCGUGGAGAUUCGUACGUUUGCACAGCCUGCUUUCUUCUGCACUCUGAGCUUUCAUUGAUCCUCUUACACUUACUAUUCUAUAGGUUUGCUGAGUAUGCCCACAAGAAAAUGAAUCUCAGGGUUGUAUAUGGUGACAUACAUGUACUUUGAUAAUAGAAUUUAACUUUGAACUUUGGCUAAAAUGGUAUGAUUCAACAUAGCACGUUCAUUUUCUCCUCACUAUUGACAAACCUGCAGCCACCCAUGUGACAACAAGCUUUGACCAUGGGAUUGGAAGAACGUCCAAAGGAGAUUCACUGCACUGACCCCUAGAAUCAAAGUGUUAAUGUACGAGGAGUGUUAAAUGGCUCUGGGCCCGUACCUGCUGGAGUUUAGAAGAAUGGGAGGGGUGGUUCUUAAUGAAACCUAUCGAAUAUUGAAAGGCCUAGUGGAUGUGGAGAGGAUGAUUCCUAUAGUGGAUGAGUCCAGGACCAAAGGGUACGGCCUCAGAAUACAAGGGUGUCCCUUUGGAACAGAGAGUAGGAGGAAUUUUUUUAACCAAAGGAUGGUGGUUCUGUGGGACUCAUUGCCAUAGAUGGCUGUGGAGGGCAAGUCCCUGGGUAUAUUUAAAGCGGAGAUUUGAUUAGUAAGUGCGUCAAAGGUUACUGGAAGAAGGCAGGAGAAUGGGAUUGAGAGGGAUAAUAAAGCAGCCAUGAUUGAAUGGAGGACCAGACUCAAUGGGCCAAAUAACAUCAUUCCGUUCCUGUGUCUUACAUUAUCAUAGUGAAAAUCGAGAGGAAACUACUGACAUGAUGAAGGAAGCCCUGAGCUCUGCCAGAGUGGGAGGACCUUCACUGCUGCCCUAAAUACCAGUGAUGUAACAGGCAUAUGCAUCCAUCAUCAAGGACCCCUCCUUCCAGAACAUGUUCUGUUCUCAUUGCUACCAUCAAGAAAAAGGUAUGAGAGCCUCAGGAACCACACCACCAGCUUCAGGAACAGUUGCUACCCCUCAACCAUCAGGCUCUUGAACCGAAGGAAAUAACUUCACUCAACUUCACUUGCCCCAUUAUUGAAAUGUUCCCACACCAGUGAUCUCACUUUCAAGGACGCUUCAUCUCGUGUUCUCAAUAUUUAUUGCUUAUUUAUUUAUUAUUACUUUCUUUUUAUACUUGCACAGUUUGUGUUAUUUGUACACUGGUUGAACAUGCAAGUCGGUGCUGUUUUUCAUUGAUUAUGGUUAUUAUUCUAUUAUGGACUUAUUGAGUAUGCCUGCAAGAAAAUGAAUCUCAGAGUUGGAUAUGACUUGUUUUUGUAUAUAGUAAAUUUAUUUUAACCU
Long non-coding RNA from Hypanus sabinus (Atlantic stingray), 2161 nucleotides. RefSeq lists it as uncharacterized. NCBI's taxonomy places the organism in Eukaryota, Metazoa, Chordata, Chondrichthyes, Myliobatiformes, Dasyatidae. The record is from RefSeq and is a predicted model, not a curated record. The transcript has 5 exons.